GCUUUUAAGGAUACCAGAAAAACACCCAAGGAGCCGGAGAUGGCAAUUCACCAAAAUUCACCAAAUUCACCAAAAUUCACCAAAUUCGCCAAAUUCACCAAAUUCACCAAAAUUCACCAAAUCUGAAUCACUCUAACGAGCUACAGCAUAAAAUCACUUGAAAAGGUGUGUGCUGACUUGAUCAGAGGCACAAAGGAAAAGAAUCUCAAAGUGAAAGGACCGGUUUGAAUCCUACCAACACUUUGAGAAUCACUACAAGAAAAACUCCACAGAUGAGCAUCCAUAAGCAACUCAUUGACUUGCACAGUCCUUCUGAGAUUGUUAAGCAGAUUACUUCCAUCAGUAUUGAGCCAGGAGUUGAAGUGGAAGUCACCAUUGCAGAUGCUUAA
Molecule: long non-coding RNA, 389 nt
Filed under: Homo sapiens (human)
Lineage: Eukaryota; Metazoa; Chordata; Mammalia; Primates; Hominidae
Description: non-protein coding lnc-UBE2I-2:1
Source: RNAcentral